UACGGGGGGAGCAAGCGUUGUUCGGAUUUACUGGGCGUAAAGGGCGCGUAGGCGGCCUCCGCAAGUCAGUUGUGAAAUCUCCGAGCUUAACUCGGAAAGGUCAACUGAUACUGCGGGGCUAGAGUGCGGAAGGGGCAACUGGAAUUCUUGGUGUAGCGGUGAAAUGCGUAGAUAUCAAGAGGAACACCUGCGGCGAAGGCGGGUUGCUGGGCCGACGCUGACGCUGAGGCGCGAAAGCUAGGGGAGCGAACGGG
Molecule: ribosomal RNA, 254 nt
Filed under: uncultured bacterium
Lineage: Bacteria
Description: partial 16S ribosomal RNA
Rfam family: Bacterial small subunit ribosomal RNA
Source: RNAcentral